This 465-nucleotide ribosomal RNA is filed under the name Vreelandella stevensii. RNAcentral describes it as "partial 16S ribosomal RNA". It matches the Rfam family "Bacterial small subunit ribosomal RNA", at positions 338 to 795 of the family's 1533-position model. The record is from RNAcentral. Lineage: Bacteria; Pseudomonadati; Pseudomonadota; Gammaproteobacteria; Oceanospirillales; Halomonadaceae.
CCUAGUGGGUGCAGCAGUGGGGAAUAUUGGACAAUGGGCGAAAGCCUGAUCCAGCCAUGCCGCGUGUGUGAAGAAGGCCUUCGGGUUGUAAAGCACUUUCAGUGGGGAAGAAAGCCUUGGGGCUAAUACCCUCGAGGAAGGACAUCACCCACAGAAGAAGCACCGGCUAACUCCGUGCCAGCAGCCGCGGUAAUACGGAGGGUGCGAGCGUUAAUCGGAAUUACUGGGCGUAAAGCGCGCGUAGGCGGUCUGAUAAGCCGGUUGUGAAAGCCCCGGGCUCAACCUGGGAACGGCAUCCGGAACUGUCAGGCUAGAGUGCAGGAGAGGAAGGUAGAAUUCCCGGUGUAGCGGUGAAAUGCGUAGAGAUCGGGAGGAAUACCAGUGGCGAAGGCGGCCUUCUGGACUGACACUGACGCUGAGGUGCGAAAGUGUGGGUAGCAAACAGGAUUAGAUACCCUGGUAGUC